RNAcentral lists this ribosomal RNA (253 nucleotides) under uncultured bacterium. Its description in RNAcentral is "partial 16S ribosomal RNA". It matches the Rfam family "Archaeal small subunit ribosomal RNA", at positions 474 to 727 of the family's 1478-position model. The record is from RNAcentral.
UACCAGCACCCCGAGUGGUCGGGACGAUUAUUGUGCCUAAAGCAUCCGUAGCCGGUUCUGCAAGUCCCCCGUUAAAUCCAGCUGCUCAACAGAUGGGCCGCGGAGGAUACUACAGAGCUAGGAGGCAGGAGAGGCAAGCGGUACUCAGUGGGUAGGGGUAAAAUCCGUUGAUCCAUUGAAGACCACCAGUGGCGAAGGCGGCUUGCCAGAAUGCGCUCGACGGUGAGGGAUGAAAGCUGGGGGAGCAAACCGG